GCAGGGAGCGCCCGGAUGGAGCGGAGGAUGAAAGGCGGAUACUUGGACCAGCCAGUGCCCUACACCUUCAGCAGCAAAUCGCCCGGAAAUGGGAGCCUGCGCGAAACGCUGAUGGUCCCGCAGGGGAAGCUCAUGGACCCGGGCUCCCUGCCUCCCUCCGACUCCGAAGAUCUCUUCCAGGAUCUAAGUCACUUCCAGGAGACGUGGCUCGCUGAAGCUCAGGUACCAGACAGUGAUGAGCAGUUUGUUCCUGAUUUCCAUUCAGAAAACCUAACUUUCCACAGCCCCACCACCAGGAUCAAGAAGGAGCCCCAGAGUCCCCGCAGAGACCGGGCCCUGUCCUGCAGCAGGAAGCCGCCACUCCCCUACCACCAUGGCGAGCAGUGCCUUUACUCCGGUGCCUAUGACCCCCCCAGACAAAUUGCCAUCAAGUCCCCUGCCCCUGGUGUCCUUGGACAGUCACCCCUGCAGCCCUUUCCCCGGGCAGAGCAACGGAAUUUCCUGAGAUCCUCUGGCACCUCCCAGCCCCACCCUGGCCAUGGGUACCUUGGGGAACAUAGCUCCGUCUUCCAGCAGCCCCUGGACAUUUGCCACAACUUCACAUCUCAGGGAGGAGGCCGGGAACCCCUCCCAGCCCCCUACCAACACCAGCUGUCGGAGCCCUGCCCACCCUAUCCCCAGCAGAGCUUCAAGCAAGAAUACCAUGACCCCCUGUAUGAACAGGCGGAACAGCCGACCAUGGACCAGGGUGGGGUCUCAAUGGGCACAGGUACCCAGGGGCGGGGGUGGUGAUCAAACAGGAGCAGACGGACUUCACCUACGACUCAGAUCUCACCGGGUGUGCAUCAAUGUACCUCCACACAGAGGGCUUCCCCGGGCCCUCUCCAGGUGACGGGGCCAUGGGCUAUGGCUAUGAGAAAACUCUGCGACCAUUCCCAGAUGAUGUCUGCGUUGUCCCUGAGAAAUUUGAAGGAGACAUCAAGCAGGAAGGGGUUGGUGCAUUUCGAGAGGGGCCACCCUACCAGCGCCGGGGUGCCCUGCAGCUGUGGCAAUUUCUGGUGGCCCUGCUGGAUGACCCAACAAAUGCCCAUUUCAUUGCCUGGACGGGCCGGGGAAUGGAGUUCAAGCUCAUUGAGCCUGAGGAGGUUGCCAGGCUCUGGAGCAUCCAGAAGAACCGGCCAGCCAUGAAUUACGACAAGCUGAGCCGCUCGCUCCGAUACUACUAUGAGAAAGGCAUCAUGCAGAAGGUGGCUGGAGAGCGUUACGUGUACAAGUUUGUGUGUGAGCCCGAGGCCCUCUUCUCUUUGGCCUUCCCGGACAAUCAGCGUCCAGCUCUGAAGGCCGAGUUUGACCGGCCGGUCAGUGAGGAGGACACGGUCCCUUUGUCCCACUUGGACGAGAGUCCCGCCUACCUCCCAGAGCUUGCUGUCCUUGCCCAGCUGUUUGGCCCCAAGGGUGGCUACUCUUACUAGCCCCCAGCGGCUAUUCCCUCUGCCGCAGGUGGGUGCUGCCCUGCGUACAUAUAGUUGAAUUUGGUGUUGGGGAAACCUUCAUCUGAAACCCACAGAUGACUCUGGGCAGAUCCCCACUGUCCUACCAGUUGCCCUGGCCCAGACUCUGAGCUGCUCACCAGUCACUGGGAAGGAAAAGUGGAGAAAUGGCAAGUCUAUAAAGGUGGAGUCUCAGAAACUCCCCUGGGGGCUCCACCUGGGCCCUAGGGGAAUUCAGCUCAGCUUCUUCCCAGGUCCUGCUUCCUGUGUCCACGCCCCCUACACCUUUUCCCCAACCACAGAGAACAAGAGUUUGUUCUGUUCUGGGGGACAGAGAAGGCGCUUCCCAACUUAAACUGGCAUGAGGGAGAGGAGGUUCGCUGAGAUCCCCAGAUCGUCCCACUGCACGGACAGAGAAGCCUGGACUCUGCCCCAAGCUGUGGCCCCGGGUGGGUUCCAGCUUGUCAGUUCUUGGUGCUCUGUGUUCCCGGAGGCAGGGGGAGGUUGAAGAAAGGAACCUGGGAUGGGGGGUGCUGGGUGGAAGCCGAGAGGGAUGGGUUCCUGCUCCAAGGGGCCCUUUGCCUUUCUUCUGCCCUUUCCUAGGCCCAGUUUCCACUUCCACCUCCACCAUAUCUACCAGACCUUAAUAAAGCCCCACUUCUCCCAAAAAAAAAAAAAAAAAAA
Sapajus apella (tufted capuchin) is the source of this 2174-nucleotide RNA transcript. It is a transcript of the gene named ETS translocation variant 4 pseudogene, with no coding region annotated. The transcript has a single exon. Lineage: Eukaryota; Metazoa; Chordata; Mammalia; Primates; Cebidae. The record is from RefSeq and is a predicted model, not a curated record.